Molecule: long non-coding RNA, 1105 nt
Organism: Gorilla gorilla gorilla (western lowland gorilla)
Lineage: Eukaryota; Metazoa; Chordata; Mammalia; Primates; Hominidae
Exons: 4
Source: RefSeq, a predicted model, not a curated record
CUAAAAAGAGUAUAAAAUUUUGUAGUACUUUGGUAAAAACUAAGAGAGAGAAUGCAUGGACAAUACUCUUCAUAGAGACUGGCACAUACUGACAAAAUGUUAUUUUUAUGUUAUAAUAAAUAUAUCUAUUGCUAUUAUUCUAUUCUUGGGUUAUAGAAAUUCAGGUUGUUUGAAAUAUUUAAAAGAUCUUGACUAUAGAGGUAAUUCUAUAAACAUCCAGGUUUGUAAAUAGACAAUUACUUUUCCGUUAUUCACAUUGUUAAAAGAUGAUAAAGAUCAGCCAACUCCAAAGGCUUUUAUAUUUGUUUUUUAAUGCAUUGUGUGAUUUGAGCGGCAAUACAGUUGGUUUCUAGAUGGCCAUUGAAAACAGUUUCUAUAUUUUCAGCUUAGGUGAUCCGAGUGGUGAAAGAAGGUAUACAGGCAGGUGCAUAUUGUGCAUUGUGAGAGAGCUAAAUCAGAGUGGAAGAUACCCAUGGAGAAACAAGAGUUGUUCAUUUGGUGGUGUAUAUAUUGCCUAUUUAUAUGUUUUAUUCAACAUACUUUAUAUAUAAAGUUCUUCUAAGUUCUAGCCCACUGAUUCUUUUCUCUUUCCUUCUGUGAACACUGUUGUCUGGAAGGAAGCUGCUACUCAGCCAUGCACCUCUGCAAAUGUUGGAAAGAGUCAAGGAUUCCUGAGGCAAGGAAGUUGGAUAAUGAUGAGCACCAGGCAAGACACAGCUGGCCACUGGAGAGAGAGCCCAGUGUAGGCAGAAGGCCAGAAUGUGCCAACAGGUGGCUGUCAAUAGAUUGGCCCAAAAGGAAGAACAAAGAAAAGGGCACCAAAGAAGAUAAAUGAAAACACUAGGGUAUAAGCUGAACUGUGGACAUCCUGCCACUGGGAAUUAAGUUAAAGUAGAAAAAAGAAUGUAAUGGGGAGUCCCCUCACAAGAAGAAUUUGGAUCAAAGCAUGGCAGUGAGGGGAAGCAUUGAGCAGGAAACCAUGAGACCAAAAUUUAAAAGCCAGAGCUUCCUGACUCCAAAAUCCUCUUUCUUUCCUGUUAUCCUGCUGAAGUGCUGAUUUCAAAUGAAGACUGACUUGAUCCUGAACAUAACCUACAAGAAGAAA